RNAcentral lists this ribosomal RNA (473 nucleotides) under uncultured bacterium. RNAcentral's name for it is "bacterial SSU rRNA". It matches the Rfam family "Bacterial small subunit ribosomal RNA", at positions 335 to 797 of the family's 1533-position model. The record is from RNAcentral.
ACUCCUACGGGAGGCAGCAGUAGGGAAUCUUCCACAAUGGGCGCAAGCCUGAUGGAGCAACACCGCGUGAGUGAAGAAGGGUUUCGGCUCGUAAAGCUCUGUUGUUAAAGAAGAACACGUAUGAGAGUAACUGUUCAUACGUUGACGGUAUUUAACCAGAAAGUCACGGCUAACUACGUGCCAGCAGCCGCGGUAAUACGUAGGUGGCAAGCGUUAUCCGGAUUUAUUGGGCGUAAAGAGAGUGCAGGUGGUUUUCUAAGUCUGAUGUGAAAGCCUUCGGCUUAACCGGAGAAGUGCAUCGGAAACUGGAUAACUUGAGUGCAGAAGAGGGUAGUGGAACUCCAUGUGUAGCGGUGGAAUGCGUAGAUAUAUGGAAGAACACCAGUGGCGAAGGCGGCUACCUGGUCUGCAACUGACGCUGAGACUCGAAAGCAUGGGUAGCGAACAGGAUUAGAUACCCUGGUAGGAUACCG